UUAACAUGCAAUACCACCAUAAAUGUGCCCUAUCUCGUGUGAUCUUGGAAGAUAAGCAGGGUCCGGCAUAGUUAGUACUUGGAUGGUAGACUGCCUGGGAAUACUGGGUGCUUUAUGCU
This is a non-coding RNA of Mesocricetus auratus (golden hamster), 119 nucleotides long. The record is from Rfam. NCBI's taxonomy places the organism in Eukaryota, Metazoa, Chordata, Mammalia, Rodentia, Cricetidae.